This is a non-coding RNA of Mycena vulgaris, 93 nucleotides long. The record is from the annotation of a GenBank genome assembly. Lineage: Eukaryota; Fungi; Basidiomycota; Agaricomycetes; Agaricales; Mycenaceae.
UCAGAUGUAGUGUAAUUGGAACACAGCCUCCUCUUGUGUUCAACAUGAGCCCAGUUUCAGAGGCAGUCUGGGGUUCGAAUCCCUGUGUCUGAA